RNAcentral lists this long non-coding RNA (1553 nucleotides) under Ornithorhynchus anatinus (platypus). Its description in RNAcentral is "lncRNA (ENSOANG00000050195.1)". Lineage: Eukaryota; Metazoa; Chordata; Mammalia; Monotremata; Ornithorhynchidae. The record is from RNAcentral.
UCCUACCAGGAGGUCUCAGUCAUUUCCCCGUUGGUUCUCUCCCCAGGGGCCUAAGAGAGAAAGCAUUUCCUGGUCUCUUUGAGAAGUUUACCGUUGUGGACCGAUUUAUGGCCUGAACUAAACACAGAAGUCGUGUCACUCAAGUAAUGGAAAGGAGCCGCUUCCAAAAGUGAGAUCGAGGCCCACCCGCCACUGCCCCUUCCUCCGAGACUGCCCCCUCCCGAGCAACGUCCGGUCCACCGGGAUGUGACUGUUCCCGACCUACUUCCCGAGAGGCGUGGGACCCUCUGGACUUGCUAGCCACCCGCCAGCUCCCAGCUGGGUUCUGCAGAGGCAGCAGACGUGGUGGGUGCCAUUCUGUCUUUCCGUUCCUAGGUGGGGAGGAUGAUCACCACCCAGUGCAAGCUGGGAUUCCUCUGGGCAGCACUGAUUUGGUCUCCCUUACUAGAUGGCAAACUCUUAGAGGGGAGGACCACUGGAUCUCUUCAUCAAUACAUUCUCCCAAGGCCAAGCAGUUGGUGACUUAUGCUCGCUGGCCGGCCUCCGUAAAAUGAGGCCAUAAGUGCCAUAUCAAUCCACCAAUCAAUGGUAUUUGUUGAGCGCUUACUGUGCUUACUAGACUGGAAGCUCGUCCUCUAGACCGGAAGCUAAUUAUGAGCAGGGAACAUGGCUGCUAAUACUGUUCGAUCGAACUCUACCAAGCGCUUAAAACAACGCUCUCUGCACAUAGUCCGCAGUGGAAAGAGCACGGGCUUUGGAGUCAGGGCUCAUGAGUUCGAAUCCCAGCUCUGCCACUUGUCAGCUGUGUGACUGUGGGCAAGUCACUUAACUUCUCUGUGCCUCAGUUCCCUCAUCUGUAAAAUGGGGAUUAAGACUGUGAGCCCCACGUGGGACAACCUGAUUCCCCUGUGUUUACCCCAGCGCUUAGAACAGUGCUCUGCACAUAGUAAGCGCUUAACAAAUACCAACAUUAUUAUAGUAAGCACUCAGUAAAUACCAUUCAUUGAUUGACUGCAGAGCACUGUACUAAGAGUUUGGGAGAACAUGACAUAAGAGAGUUGAUAGUGCCAUUCCCUGCCCACAAGAUGCCUUGGGAUGCCUCGACGACUUGGAUCAUCGUAUGAAAUGAGAAAGGACAACUCGGGCGCUGAACGAAUGACUGAGGCUCCUGGGAAAUGGAUUUGUGAACAACUGACCGCAGGAGAAUUUUUAUCCUAACUGCAUUGCAAUCCCUGUUCAUGGGUUGUAGUUUCUCCAUCUGGGUCCGGGCAGCUUGAAUGGACGAAGAGUCGAGCGGAUGGCUGGUGAACAGAAGCUGGCCAAAUGAAAAACUUCAGAGCCCACGGGUCCAACUGGGUGACCCAGGCAGAGCAGAUCAAGCGGCUCUCCGACCGGCCCUUCUCCUGAAUUGACAGGGGCAUUGCCAUUUUAUAUAUAAUGCAGUUAGACCUGAUGAGAAAUGGGUUCAGGUCUUCCAAGUUAAUGAAGACUUCUCCUCAAUUCCCUUCCCUCUCCCAUCACCUCCCCCUUCCCUGCCCCCUCCCCCCCAGCCC